AUAAAACGUUGGCUUUGUUUGGCUGAGCUGAUAAACCUGUUGUUCCAGCUCAGUCUAUCUCGGUGUUGUCCUUUUGACGUCUUGUGUGGCCUACAUAUAUAUCCAUACACUUACAUAAUACAGGAGAGACAGUCCACAGACAUACAAAGAUUAGGCCAACAGAUAUCUGGAGCAAUUCAAAAAGCCAAGGACCUUCCCUCUAUAUUUAAUACUGGUGCAUAAAUGGGUUGGUAUAAUCCGACAAUGACACUCUCAAAACCACCGUUGCUAGUCCCAUCCAACUCGUGGGUUUUGAGGAGUAAGAAGGUAACUGAAUGUAGAAGAAAUUACCCAUUGAUUGGAAGGAAGCAGGAAAAAUUAGUGGGUAUACAUUUUGUGGGUCGUAAGGGAAUGCUCAGACUGAAGGUUUCGGCAUCUUCAGGAGAAGGAGAAGAAGCCGAGUCAGGGUAUAUAGAGGAAUUCAGUUGGUCUUCUGUUAUUUUGCCUUUUUUCUUCCCAGCCCUAGGCGGUUUAUUAUUUGGCUACGAUAUUGGUGCCACAUCAGGUGCUACCAUCUCAUUGCAGUCGCCUGAGCUUAGUGGAAUGAGUUGGUACAACCUCUCAGCUGUUCAGCUUGGUCUUGUGGUCAGCGGUUCCCUUUAUGGGGCUCUUAUUGGCUCCAUACUCGCCUACCCAUUUGCUGAUUUCCUAGGAAGGAGUAGGGAACUGAUCAUAGCAGCCAUUUUAUAUUUAGCUGGCGGUUCACUAACUGCCUGUGCUCCAGGACUAGGGGCACUCUUGUUGGGUCGGCUUGUUUAUGGACUAGGAAUUGGCUUGGCAAUGCAUGGAGCACCUCUAUAUAUAGCGGAGACUUGUCCAUCCCAAAUCAGAGGGACAUUAAUCUCUUUAAAGGAGCUGGCAAUAGUACUCGGUAUUUUGCUUGGUUAUUUUGUAGGUAGUUAUGAAAUUGAUGUCAUUGGAGGGUGGCGUUACAUGUUUGGAUUUAGUGCUCCAAUUGCUUUAUUGAUGGGGUUUGGCAUGUGGACACUCCCACCCUCUCCCAGAUGGUUACUUCUGAGGGCAAUUCAAGGUAAAGGACCAUUGCAGGAAUACAAACAGAAGGCUAUUGGAGCAUUGAGCAAACUGAGAGGCCGCCCUGAUGGCGAUAAAAUAUCUGAAAAACAAAUAGAAGAUACUAUUAUAUCAUUGAAAACUGCCUACACAGAUGAAGAAGCUGAAGGAAAUUUUCUUGAGGUAUUGCAAGGACCAAGUUUGAAAGCAUUUACAAUUGGAGGAGGUUUGGUCCUUUUUCAACAGAUAACUGGACAGCCAAGCGUUCUGUAUUAUGCUGGUUCAAUUCUUCAGAGUGCUGGUUUUUCUGCGGCUGCAGAUGCUGCUCGAGUUUCAGUCGUUAUUGGUAUAUUCAAGGUAAGUUGAGUAACUAAAGCCAGGAAAAGUCUUUUAUCUCUCGUUCAAGAAUAUUAACCUGAGUCUUUUUAUCAGACGGAUUGAUGAUUUCCCUCUAAUACUCUGACUCUUUGUUUGCAUCGAGUUUACUUAUUCUCCUGCAGUCACUGAUGACAGCAGUCGCUGUCCUAAAAGCUGAUGAUCUUGGGAGAAGGCCAUUGUUGAUUGGAGGAGUCAGUGGGAUUGUACGCAUCUAAUCAUAGGAUUAUACUCUAGAUACUUAUCAUUUUAUAUAUAGGUCAUAUUUCUACUUGUUGGUCUUAUUUCUGAGAGAAAAUGUUGCUAUUUGUGUGAUGUGAUCUACAGGCCCUAUCAUUGUUUCUUCUUUCAGCUUAUUAUAAAUUUCUCGGCAGUUACCCUUUCGUUGCUGUUUCUGCUCUGCUUCUCUAUGUGGGAUGCUACCAGAUAUCUUUUGGGCCUAUUAGCUGGCUUAUGGUAUCAGAGAUUUUCCCACUCCGCACCAGAGGGAAGGGGAUUAGUCUUGCUGUUCUUACCAAUUUUGGUUCUAAUGCGAUAGUGACCUUUGCUUUUUCACCUCUCAAGGAGUUGCUUGGGGCAGAAAAUCUUUUCCUUCUAUUUGGAGUGAUUGCUUUAUUGUCACUUGUGUUUGUGGUCACCUCUGUUCCAGAGACUAAAGGCUUGACCUUGGAAGAGAUUGAGUCCAAAAUCUUGAAGUGAAGACAUAGUUUUGUGUCCUUGAGAUCCUCACAAAUAGAAUAAUUGUCUCUUCUUUAAUAUAUCAAUUCUAUCAGAAUACAAUGCUGCAAACUUGUAUCUAAUAUUUUGAUGACUUCGCGAUUCUGCUACUGUUUGGCGAUUCUUCUUGUGCUACUCUGUAUAUAUUGUUUUUGUUGCCACUCUGACUUGGCGAA
This 2318-nucleotide unclassified non-coding RNA is filed under the name Hevea brasiliensis (rubber tree). The record is from RNAcentral. Lineage: Eukaryota; Viridiplantae; Streptophyta; Magnoliopsida; Malpighiales; Euphorbiaceae.